This is a long non-coding RNA of Drosophila montana, 951 nucleotides long. RefSeq lists it as uncharacterized. The record is from RefSeq and is a predicted model, not a curated record. The transcript is spliced from 2 exons. Lineage: Eukaryota; Metazoa; Arthropoda; Insecta; Diptera; Drosophilidae.
CUCUGAAAAACAUUUCAAUUAAUCUAUAUUCAAAUAUAUAUGGUAAAAUAUCUACGACCAUUUAUUCCCAUCGUAAAUGAUCUAAAAACUCCUUUAAACAUGGUACACAUUCACCGACAAUGGUACACUUUCUUGUAUUUGUUGGUACAAACUAGUUUUACAAGUGGCAGCCAUGCAUGCGAGCUGCCCACUCGAUUGUACAGAUCAGUCCAAGCGCAGCCAUUUUUAAAGUGAAGUGCUUUUUUUGUUUUGCGUUCUUUGUGUAAAUUUAUAUUUUUUUAAAUUGUUCCACGGGACUUUUAAUCCAAGCUGCAUGCGUUAAUCCACAGCAUGCACGUCACCUAAACACAACUUCUUGGCAAAGCUUGGCGAAGAGAAACAUCGCCAAAUACGCUCUGACUUUCCAAUAGCUUCGCUCACGCUCUCGCACUCUCCCAUGCGCUCAGUAGUGUGUGACGCGAGAGCGCCAAGCACACGCACACCAAUGCGGCUUCUUAUCAAACCAACAGCCAGCUGGAAGCAGACAGGCACAACCAGUCGGGACUCGCCUAUAAGGAUAACACGGGAGCAGUAACGGCAGCAGCGACAGCAGCAGCGACGGCGACGCUUCGCACUUUAUAAGGUGAAAUACGAAACUGGAGCAGUUCAGUUCGCAGUUGGCUGGCGUCGCAGAAGGUUGCACUAGCAGUAGCAAAGCGGAGAGGCAAAAUGUAAUCGCAAUCAACAGCUCCAAUAAGUUUUUACAGUGUGGAGAUGCUGACGAUGAUGAUGAAUAAAGUGACUAAAUGAAUGGCCAUUGUGAGUGCACUCACAUCAGUUCAAAAAGUGCGCGCUGUGACAACAAGUGAAACAAAAUUCAAAACUAAAGUUCAAUUGAAAUAAAUGUUAUUGUAGCAGCAGCAGCAGCAGUAGCAGCAGCAGUUGAAACAAUUAAAAACAAAUUGGCCAAAA